Molecule: ribosomal RNA, 327 nt
Filed under: uncultured eukaryote
Lineage: Eukaryota
Description: partial 18S ribosomal RNA
Rfam family: Eukaryotic small subunit ribosomal RNA
Source: RNAcentral
CCCUUAGAUGUUCUGGGCCGCACACGCGCUACACUGAAGGAGGCAGCGUGUACUCCUGGAUCAAAAGAUUUGGGUAACCCGCGAAUCUCCUUCGUGCUAGGGAUUGAGGUUUGCAAUUAUCCUUCAUGAACGAGGAAUUCCCAGUAAGUGCAAGUCAUAAGCUUGCGCUGACUACGUCCCUGCCCUUUGUACACACCGCCCGUCGCUACUACCGAUUGAAUGAUUUAGUGAGGACUUCGGACUGGGACCGAUGCGGCUUUCGGGCUGCGUCGGUAUUCUGGAAAGAUGUCCAAACUGUAUCAUUUAGAGGAAGUAAAAGUCGUAACA